This 253-nucleotide ribosomal RNA is filed under the name uncultured bacterium. Its description in RNAcentral is "partial 16S ribosomal RNA". It matches the Rfam family "Bacterial small subunit ribosomal RNA", at positions 524 to 776 of the family's 1533-position model. The record is from RNAcentral.
UACGUAGGGUGCAAGCGUUACUCGGAAUUACUGGGCGUAAAGCGUGCGCAGGCGGUGAUGUAAGACAGUUGUGAAAUCCCCGGGCUCAACCUGGGAACUGCAUCUGUGACUGCAUCGCUGGAGUGCGGCAGAGGGGGAUGGAAUUCCGCGUGUAGCAGUGAAAUGCGUAGAUAUGCGGAGGAACACCGAUGGCGAAGGCAAUCCCCUGGGCCUGCACUGACGCUAAUGCAUGAAAGCGUGGGGAGCAAACAGG